GAGAGCUGGCCUGAAGCCUGUGAAAGGCUCAAAGAAACAUAAGGAUCGAGUAGCGAAAUAAGGGAUACGGGGAUCCAAUCAAUGAUAAACAUUGGAAGAACGGUGGGAUCAGAAGAAUAGGAGGCUGAGAGAAUAGUUAUGCAUAGGCGCCGAAACCGAGGGAUGCAAGGGAUAAUCCAACUGGGUUAAAUCGUGCCUAUCGAUUAAACCGCCUGUCAAAACUGCGCUGGGUAUAG
Long non-coding RNA from Nomia melanderi (Alkali bee), 236 nucleotides. RefSeq lists it as uncharacterized. Lineage: Eukaryota; Metazoa; Arthropoda; Insecta; Hymenoptera; Halictidae. The record is from RefSeq and is a predicted model, not a curated record.